This is a long non-coding RNA of Salvelinus namaycush (lake trout), 120 nucleotides long. RefSeq lists it as uncharacterized. The transcript has 3 exons. NCBI's taxonomy places the organism in Eukaryota, Metazoa, Chordata, Actinopteri, Salmoniformes, Salmonidae. The record is from RefSeq and is a predicted model, not a curated record.
UGAGCUGUUCUGGAGAAGCUACAACAGCCGCAGGGAUCUGAUCAUUGACCGUAACAGCAACUUCAAGUGUCCCGUGAUGCUGGUGGUUGGGGAUCAGGCACCUCAUGAGGAGGCUGCUGU